UCCGUAGGUGAACCUGCGGAAGGAUCACUAGUGAUUAAAUCGAGAGUGUCUUCAUUGACCUCUCACCCUUCACAUCCACAUACACCUGUGCACCGUUUGGCUCUUUUAAAAGACGCAAGUCUGCAAAGAGAGUCAUCAAUUUUAUACAUACCCCAGUCUUAUGAAUGUAACAGUUUUAAUAAACAUAAUAAAACUUUUAACAACGGAUCUCUUGGUUCUCGCAUCGAUGAAGAACGCAGCGAAAUGCGAUAAGUAAUGUGAAUUGCAGAAUUCAGUGAAUCAUCGAAUCUUUGAACGCACCUUGCGCUCCUUGGUAUUCCGAGGAGCAUGCCUGUUUGAGUGUCAUGAAACUCUCAACCUUCAACUUUUUUAUUAAGGCUGAAGGCUUGGACUUGAGCGCUGCUGGUUUUCACUAACCGGCUCGCUUGAAAUGAAUUAGCAGAUCCUUUUUGUAAUCGGUUCCACUCGACGUGAUAAGUAUUUCGCCGAGGACAUAUGAAAGUAUGGCCGAGAUAAGAGAAGUCUUUUAGAUCCGCUUCUAAUUCUUAGAUCAAGCUUGCUUGACUAAACCCCAUUUUAUGAUCUGGCCUCAAAUCAGGUAGGACUACCCGCUGAACUUAAGCAUAUCAAUAAGCGGAGGA
This 641-nucleotide ribosomal RNA is filed under the name Mrakia sp. CBS 8922. RNAcentral's name for it is "eukaryotic LSU rRNA". The stretch from base 192 to 345 matches the Rfam family "5.8S ribosomal RNA". Lineage: Eukaryota; Fungi; Basidiomycota; Tremellomycetes; Cystofilobasidiales; Mrakiaceae. The record is from RNAcentral. RNAcentral also lists the same sequence under 1 other name.